This 330-nucleotide ribosomal RNA is filed under the name Euborellia annulipes. RNAcentral describes it as "partial 16S ribosomal RNA". Lineage: Eukaryota; Metazoa; Arthropoda; Insecta; Dermaptera; Anisolabididae. The record is from RNAcentral.
GGUAUCUUUUUAAUUUCCUAAAAAAGGUUUAUUUAUUCAUUUAUAUUUGGUUUAUUGUGAAAAUAUUUUAUUAUUUCCUAUUGCCCCAAUAAAACAACUGCUUAGGUUGUAAAGAUCUAUAGGGUCUUAUCGUCUGAAAAAAUUAUUAACGCAUUUUUACGCUAAAUUAAAAUUAAAGAAAUUUUUAUAAUACAGUCUACCCCCCAUUCAAUCAUUCAUGCAAGCCUUCAAUUAAAAGACUAUUGAUUAUGCUACCUUUGCACGGUCAAUUUACCGCGGCCCUUAAAAAUUCAGGGGGCAGAUUAUAUCUUUAAUACAAUUCUAAAGAAA